ACACGUAGGGGGCGAGCGUUGUUCGGAAUCAUUGGGCGUAAAGGGCGCGUAGGCGGCCCGGUAAGUCUGGAGUGAAAGUCCUGUUUUUAAGAUGGGAAUUGCUUUGGAUACUGUCGGGCUUGAGUGCAGGAGAGGUAAGUGGAAUUCCCAGUGUAGCGGUGAAAUGCGUAGAGAUUGGGAGGAACACCAGUGGCGAAGGCGACUUACUGGACUGUAACUGACGCUGAGGCGCGAAAGUGUGGGGAGCAAACAGGAUUAGAUACCCUGGUAGUCCACACUGUAAACGAUGAAUGCUAGGUGUAGGGGGUAUCGACCCCUUCUGUGCCGCAGUCAACACAAUAAGCAUUCCGCCUGGGGAGUACGGCCGCAAGGUUGAAACUCAAAUGAAUUGGCGGGG
Molecule: ribosomal RNA, 397 nt
Filed under: uncultured bacterium
Lineage: Bacteria
Description: partial 16S ribosomal RNA
Rfam family: Bacterial small subunit ribosomal RNA
Source: RNAcentral